Molecule: ribosomal RNA, 427 nt
Filed under: Microvirga ossetica
Lineage: Bacteria; Pseudomonadati; Pseudomonadota; Alphaproteobacteria; Hyphomicrobiales; Methylobacteriaceae
Also listed under: 3 other names
Description: partial 16S ribosomal RNA
Rfam family: Bacterial small subunit ribosomal RNA
Source: RNAcentral
UGGGGAAUUUUGGACAAUGGGGGCAACCCUGAUCCAGCAAUGCCGCGUGAGUGAAGAAGGCCUUCGGGUUGUAAAGCUCUUUUGUCAGGGAAGAAACGGUGAUCUCUAAUAUAGAUUGCUAAUGACGGUACCUGAAGAAUAAGCACCGGCUAACUACGUGCCAGCAGCCGCGGUAAUACGUAGGGUGCAAGCGUUAAUCGGAAUUACUGGGCGUAAAGCGUGCGCAGGCGGUUAUAUAAGUCAGAUGUGAAAUCCCCGGGCUCAACCUGGGAACUGCAUUUGAGACUGUAUGGCUAGAGUGUGUCAGAGGGGGGUAGAAUUCCACGUGUAGCAGUGAAAUGCGUAGAUAUGUGGAGGAAUACCGAUGGCGAAGGCAGCCCCCUGGGAUAACACUGACGCUCAUGCACGAAAGCGUGGGGAGCAAACA